CGAAUGCAACAGUAAAUUUUUUUUGGAUCACGAUAUUGAUUAGGAAUUCCUACUGAAAUAAAUGUCAAACUAGAAAAUCAAAGGGUAAAGAAUAGGGAACCCGCUGUUAGAGAGAGUGCAAGGGUUGUCAAAGGAAGUGAUGCGAACUCCAGGGUUUUUUCCUCCCAAAUUUACAAAGAAAAAAUUCGAUAAAGGAAGUUUUUUAGGAGUAUUCGUACGUAUAUCAACAAUAAUACAAAAAAAAAUUAAUCCUUUUGAAUGAUUUCAGUUUUAAUAGAUGGCGCUGUGUGUAUAUAUUUAUUGUUUUCAUUAUAGUUUAACAGCUGACAGCUAAUAAUAGUCAUAUAGUUAUAAUUGUUGUAAUUUGUAUUGUGCACUGUCGUUCUCAAAACGAAUAAAAAAUGUCAAGGGGAGAAAAAGUUUUCGGUUAUUUACAAAAAUACAUAUGUUAAUAAAUGGGAGAGAAAUCAUAAACUUAAUGGUAUAUAUGAAUUCCUAUUAUAUUUAUUUGACUCAAUUGGAGUCUUCAGGUUAAAAAUUUUAGUUAUGAGUAGUUUGAUCUCAUAAAAGUUUGAACUGAAUCGAUCUUAUGAAUGCGAAAAAACUAGAUGUAAAAGAAAAGUGAUUUACGAUACAGUUAUCUAUAAACAACCAUAGAUUAAAUUGCGAAGAAAAUUGAGAUAUAAUAUGGUGUAUAUAGUUACUCGCUCACUGUUAUUAAGCCCACGAGUUCAUAAUUUGUCUCCACAGGAAGGUGUUAUUCAUAACGAUAGGACGUAAUCCUCCAACGAUGACGAAAUACUUUUAUGUUAAACAUACAUAUAGCUGAUUUAAGAAAAAAAAACCUUAAACAAACUGUUCAAACUACCAAUUAGAUAAUUCCUGUUGUAAUAAAGGAGUCAAGUCAUUAGUGAAUUAAAAUCAGGAAAUAUUUCAUAAUAAGAUGGAAGCCAUUUCAUUUACUAAGCUGUAUUCAUAAAUAAACAAUUUAGUUAAAAUAGAAGUAAAUAUAUCUUACAUGACAUGUCAUGUCUGCAGAGAUCUUCAAAAAUCAUUAAAAAUUUUGUCUGAAAAUUUUUUUCAUAAAAAUAUACAGAUAAAUAUGAAUUCUAUUCAUCUUUAAAACUUCUAUAAAAAUAUGCGUUGGCCAGCAUUAAAAGUUAUGAAAAUGAUAUCUAAAAUUUUAGAGUGCUACAAAAUUACUGAGAUUUUGUUAUGUUAUUUAUAUUAUUUAUAUUAUAAAACAAAGUUCAAUUCAAGCCCAGUGGUUGACAGCUAUAAUUUUAAUACAUGUAUUCAUAUUAAUAUUCGGGAACUUUUGUUUUUACGUCAAAAACAAUUGACUCGCUAAUAACGUAUACAUAUAUAUAUAUAUAUAUGAGGGAAUUUGUCUUGAUCGUAAGUACGAGGAUGCUCGUGAUGAUCAGUGCAAUGGUUGUGGUCACUUGAUCAAUGCUACUGAGCUGAUAAAUCCUAGGUGCAAACUGUGCAAUCAGACUCCGGUUGUUAAAACUUCGGACCAUUUCUUCUUGAAUCUUCCCAAGAUCGAGCCGAAAAUAAAGGAAUACGUUUCAUCAGCAGAAGCAAACUGGUCUGGCGUAGCAAGAUCAGCAACAAAACCGUGGCUCCAGGAUGGCUUGAAGCCGCGAUGCAUUACCCGGGACAUUAAAUGGGGAAUCCCCGUUCCGUUGAAAAGCUACGAAGACAAGGUGUUCUACGAGUGGUCUACCACGAAGACUACGAGCAAUAGUGGCGUCCUUAGCCAGAGAUGGACGUCUCGCUGUACCAGUUCAUAGCCAAAGACAACGUUCUGUUCCACGCGAUAGUGUUUCCCGCGUCCCUGCUCGCGGUUAACUAAGCUCAUAUCCUUGUGAAGAGUAUUAUGGCUGUAGAGUAUCUUAACUACGAAAACACCAAGUUCUCGGGAAGUUUGAGUCUUUGGUACCGAUGCCGAAGGAUCUCUUGUAUUUGCUGAAAAAAAUUAUGAAGGAAUAAUGUAAGUAGCGGAACUUCGUAAUGAAGAAUAUAAUUUGGUAGCAUGUGUACAGCGUGAAUUGACCGAGUAUAAUUUUUUGAUAAAGCAACCUAAAUUACGUCAUAGCUUGAAAUUAAUUUUAUCAAUAUAAAAGCUUGGUAAUCAGUAUCUACAAGCGCAGCAACCUUGGGCUAAUAAAAAGGGAUGAUAAUGAUAAAAAUGGUAUCCGGAGUCUGCUGUAACUUGAGUUGCUUGUUGUCAUCACUAAUCAGCUCAUUCAUGCCUGCACUAUCAGUAUCUCUUCGAGCUCAACUAGGACUUAAAAACCACUACGGCUUCAUCCCCGACACAGUGACCAUUUUACUGGAACUAGGUUACAAAAUCGGGAAAUCUUCAUCGCUGCUUGCCAGAAUAACUGACAAGGAGAUCCAGGCUCUCCGCAAAAAGUUCAGUGGAGUAAAAGAAGAAAAACCGAAGAAAA
This 2456-nucleotide long non-coding RNA is filed under the name Cotesia glomerata. RNAcentral's name for it is "uncharacterized LOC123264674, transcript variant X1". Lineage: Eukaryota; Metazoa; Arthropoda; Insecta; Hymenoptera; Braconidae. The record is from RNAcentral.